Molecule: ribosomal RNA, 381 nt
Filed under: uncultured eukaryote
Lineage: Eukaryota
Description: partial 18S ribosomal RNA
Rfam family: Eukaryotic small subunit ribosomal RNA
Source: RNAcentral
CAAUAGCGUAUAUUAAAGUUGUUGCAGUUAAAAAGCUCGUAGUUGGAUUUGUGGCGUAUGGUGUGUUCCGGGCACUUGUUGUCUGAGUAACUUGCCAUUGCCAUCCUUGGGUGGAACCUGUGUGGCAUUAGGUUGUCGUGCAGGGGAUGCCCAUCGUUUACUGUGAAAAAAUUAGAGUGUUCAAAGCAGGCUUAUGCCGUUGAAUAUAUUAGCAUGGAAUAAUAAGAUAGGACCUCGGUUCUAUUUUGUUGGUUUCUAGAGCUGAGGUAAUGAUUAAUAGGGAUAGUUGGGGGCAUUCGUAUUUAACUGUCAGAGGUGAAAUUCUUGGAUUUAUGAAAGACGAACAUCUGCGAAAGCAUUUGCCAAGGAUGUUUUCAUUGA